UCGACCUGAAGGCUCAGGCACGAACAAGGGAAAAGAAAAGCUGUUCGAAUGAGAAUUAGUAUGAGUUAAUGGUUAUAGUUAGUAAGACAAUGGAAUCUAUUGUCAGGUAUUGUAAGGAAUGUAUUUUGAAGGUCACGUACCUGGGAAAGUAAACUUUGAUGUAUGUAAAUUAAGUUCGAGUUAUAUUAUUAUUUAGUAUUAUUCAGCUUAAAGAAAUGGUAUCGUG
RNAcentral lists this long non-coding RNA (226 nucleotides) under Panax ginseng (ginseng). Its description in RNAcentral is "long non-coding RNA (PGIN_LNC015375)". Lineage: Eukaryota; Viridiplantae; Streptophyta; Magnoliopsida; Apiales; Araliaceae. The record is from RNAcentral.